AGGGCUGAAAAUUAGCGGUCGCCCAGUCGCCCACGGCGACUAAAUUUGUAACUGGACUACCAAAAAUUUCAAAGUAGUCGUCCAGUCGGCGACUUAAAAAAAAACGGCUGUAGAUUAUGACUAUAAAAGAACGACUGUAGAUUAAAUUUAUAUCCGCCAUUAGAAAAUUCAAUGAGCAAAUUGGCUCCAAAAUUAUUAAAUUGGCUCAAGAAAAUCACGGUAAAAUGUAUGACUUUUGGAAUCUCCAGUCUAAAUUUAGCAUUUGCUAUUUUAAGAAUGGAAAGUACACUUUUGGUUUUCCAUUUACAAUUUCCGCUUUACCGCUUUUAUCUCAAAACACAGCGACACAGUCUACUUUUUUGUGGGUCAUUGACUGGUUUAUAUUUGUAACUUCCCUUCCCAAUGAAAUAUCGAUAUGAACAGUAACACAGUCUAAUACACUGACCUCACCGUUUGUUUACAUCAGCUGAUAAAUAUGACACUAAUUGUCGCAUGCACUGGAUAAUUGGGUCUUAAUAUUUAAUAUGAAACAACAACUAGCAGCAUCUCAAGAUUACCCAAGAUUAUCGCUAAUCAAAUCAGAAUUUUGGGUAUGAAAAAGCGACAAAUUAUGUUCUGCAGUUGACAACUUGACCUGUUCACGAUACAGAUAGUCUUCAAGACAAAUCUUUGUCAUUAACCAAGCAAGCUGAAGCAGCACAUUGGAAUGUGUUUCUGCUGUCACUGUCAUGCCACUGAUUUAGAUUUUAUGGAAUCUUUGCUGCCCAACUUAACGUGGCAAAUGUUAUAGCUACUGAGCUGCAAGCUUUUAUGAUUAUUGACUGUAAAUUAUAUAAGUUUGUUGUGUUAAUGUGAUAAAAAUGUAGGUACCAAAAUAAAAUUGGAUAUAGUUUA
Ruditapes philippinarum (Manila clam) is the source of this 894-nucleotide long non-coding RNA. RefSeq lists it as uncharacterized. The record is from RefSeq and is a predicted model, not a curated record. The transcript has 2 exons. Lineage: Eukaryota; Metazoa; Mollusca; Bivalvia; Venerida; Veneridae.